AUCGAACGCUGGCGGCAGGCCUAACACAUGCAAGUCGAACGAGUGGCGGACGGGUGCGUAAUGUCUGGGAAAAUGCCUGAUGGAGGGGGAUAACUACUGGAAAUGGUAGCUAAUACCGCAUAACAUCAGAUGUUCCCAGAUGGGUUUAGCUAGUUGGGGGGGUAACGGCUCUCCAAGGCGACGAUCCCUAGCUGGUCUGAGAGGAUGACCAGCCACACUGGAACUGGGACACGGUCCAGACGCCUACGGGAGGCAGCAGUGGGGAAGAUUGCACAAUGGGCGCAAGCCUGAUGCAGCCAUGCCGCGUGUAGGAAGAAGGCCUUCGGGUGGUAAAGUACUUUCAGCGGGGAGGCGUUACCCGCAGAGGAAGCACCGGCUAACUCCGUGCCAGCCGCCGCGGUAAUUC
RNAcentral lists this ribosomal RNA (406 nucleotides) under uncultured bacterium. RNAcentral's name for it is "partial 16S ribosomal RNA". It matches the Rfam family "Bacterial small subunit ribosomal RNA", at positions 30 to 526 of the family's 1533-position model. The record is from RNAcentral.